GACAGAGGGUGCAAGCGUUGUUCGGAAUUACUGGGCGUAAAGCGCGUGUAGGCGGCACGGCAAGUCGGAUGUGAAAGCCCGCGGCUCAACCGUGGAAGUGCACUCGAAACUGCCGAGCUAGAGUCUCGGAGAGGAAGGUGGAAUGCUUGGUGUAGAGGUGAAAUUCGUAGAUAUCAAGCAGAACACCUGUGGCGAAGGCGGCCUUCUGGACGAUGACUGACGCUGAGACGCGAAAGCGUGGGGAGCAAACAGG
RNAcentral lists this ribosomal RNA (253 nucleotides) under uncultured bacterium. RNAcentral describes it as "partial 16S ribosomal RNA". It matches the Rfam family "Bacterial small subunit ribosomal RNA", at positions 524 to 776 of the family's 1533-position model. The record is from RNAcentral.